AAAUGUACUUUGACACCCCGAAAGGAGGAUUCGAAUCAGGAAGUACGCCCUUUUUCGACGCUCUACUUAUGUUAGAAUAAUAGUAUAGUGAGUAAAUGGUUUUGGUAAUUCUCUGUAUGGUAGUAAGACUUGCCAUAAUAGUAUGUAUACAAUUUAAUUACUAUUCAUGAGUUACUUAUUUAUAAUACAAGACCGGUGUUGAUUUUAAGAGGGUAAUACAAUUAGGGAAAUUGAUCUACCUCUUGACAUUUUUU
Molecule: non-coding RNA, 254 nt
Organism: Cinara cedri
Lineage: Eukaryota; Metazoa; Arthropoda; Insecta; Hemiptera; Aphididae
Source: the annotation of a GenBank genome assembly